AUCUGGCUUAGCUCAUUUGAAAGAAAAGUGUUUUGUAGACAUUGAAAAUACAACAUGUAGAAAUCAAAAUGUGCAUGUACAAACCAUCCUGAUUCAUUUUGUCAUGUGUGUGGUGAAUUCAUGACAAGGAAACAAAGAUGACCAAUUUCUAACUUACUGAAGGCGUCAUAUCAUUUAUACUUCACAUGCCAACUGGGAGAUCAGGAUAAAGAUUCGGCACCUCACAUAACUAACACAAUGGCUAAAAGGAAAAAAAAAGAGCACUUACCAUGUGGCAUACAAAUGGUCUGCAAUUAGACCUGUUCCCUACAGUAAAGACGUGCCAGUUCCAACUCCUCCACUAGUGUGGGAAGAAGUUCCUAAUUCCAAUCACAAAUCUACAAAUGCUGAGGGAGCACAAUGACAAUCAAGUGAAGAAGAGAACUUUCCAGAACAAAGACCACAUUUAAUUACACAAGGAAUGGAACUUACUUCAUGAAGAAACAAGAAUUACUCACAUUAGGCAAUGUAAAAAUGAUCUGAUGACAUAUUACCCUAUGAUGGACAAUGUUUGUGCUUAUAGAUAACUACAUUAAUUUAUCAGGAAUACUGAAGCUAUUACAUAUAAGGAAGGAAAUUGGAAAAUAUGUGGUGAUCUCAAGAUGACUGGUUUACUAACUGGUCUACAAAGUGUUUCCACAUUUUCCUUUGUCUUUGGGACAGCAGUGCAACAGAUAAACAUUAUACAGUGGCCACUACAAGAGAAAUUGGCUCCAGGGAGAGCAAAUGUGGAAUAUGUACCUUUGGUGGAGUCUCGAAAUGUUUUCGUUCCCCCACCGCAUAGUAAACUUGGCCUUAUGAAGAAUUUUGUCAAGAGAAUGGACAAAAAUGCUAAUGGUUUCAUGUAUCUAUGUGAAGUGUUCCCUGAAUAAAGUGAUGGCAAAUUUUAA
Long non-coding RNA from Schistocerca gregaria, 929 nucleotides. RefSeq lists it as uncharacterized. The record is from RefSeq and is a predicted model, not a curated record. NCBI's taxonomy places the organism in Eukaryota, Metazoa, Arthropoda, Insecta, Orthoptera, Acrididae. The transcript is spliced from 3 exons.